CUACGGGGCGCAGCAGUGGGGAAUAUUGGUCAAUGGGCGAAAGCCUGAACCAGCAAUGCCGCGUGAGUGAUGAAGGCCUUCGGGUUGUAAAGCUCUGUCAGAAGGAACGAAAAAACUGCGUAACGAGCAGUCUUGACGGUACCUUCAAAGGAAGCACCGGCUAACUCUGUGCCAGCAGCCGCGGUAAUACAGAGGGUGCAAGCGUCGUUCGGAAUCACUGGGCGUAAAGCGAGUGCAGGCGGCCGUUUAAGUCAGAUGUGAAAUCCCGCGGCUCAACCGAGGAACUACAUCUGAUACUGGAAGGCUAGAGUGUCGGAGGGGAUGGUAGAAUUCCUGGUGUAGAGGUGAGAUUCGUAGAUAUCAGGAGGAAUACCUGUGGCGAAGGCGACCAUCUGGAAGACAACUGACGCUGAGACUCGAGAGCGUGGGUAGCAAACAGGAUUAGAUACCCGCGUAGUC
This 459-nucleotide ribosomal RNA is filed under the name uncultured bacterium. RNAcentral describes it as "partial 16S ribosomal RNA". It matches the Rfam family "Bacterial small subunit ribosomal RNA", at positions 339 to 795 of the family's 1533-position model. The record is from RNAcentral.